AUGAAAAAACAUGAGAGUUUGGAGCUUGACUCAAAGACGCGAGCAUCCGAGCUCGCGAUGGCUAUUGAAAAUGCCAAGUCUGCCAAGGCCGAAUCCCAGAAGACCCUCCAGGAGUUGGAUGAGGUGAAGAAGAUAGCGGUGGGAGCGUUCACAGAGCUUCCCCGGAGUGUGUCCGAUGCCGCCGCAUUCUAUCGAGCCGAGGAGGGGAGCUCGACAGAGAAGGUGUUCUGGUCUCAGUAUGCUGAGGCCGGACACCCCGUGCCCCUGAGCGACCAGCUGAAGCAACUGGUCGAGCUCCACAAGGCGGCCGAACAUGCUAUGAAGGGCCUCAUAGUUUGGCUGUGGCCUGGAGGGGCUCUGUCUGGGAGCUAUUUCGGGCUGGUGCGGCGGCUGGUGGAGGCCUGUCCAAGGCUCGAAGUCAUCAAGCGCUCCGUCUGCAUUGAAGGUGCCCGUAGGGCCCUUGCCCGUGCUAAGGUGCACUGGGGCAAGCUGGAUGCUGAGAAGCUUGUGAAGGACGGGCCACCGCCGGGGAAAGAGCAUCGCAAGCCCGAGAAUUAUUAUAAGGAUGUUCUAAAGGGUGCCUUCCUUGUGGCGGAUGAGUGUUCUAGGGAUGUAAUUUUUGAGUGA
RNAcentral lists this ribosomal RNA (627 nucleotides) under Triticum aestivum (bread wheat). RNAcentral's name for it is "partial small subunit ribosomal RNA". Lineage: Eukaryota; Viridiplantae; Streptophyta; Magnoliopsida; Poales; Poaceae. The record is from RNAcentral.